AUUGAACGCUGGCGGCGUGCUUAAGACAUGCAAGUCGAACGGAGUGUGUAGCAAUACUCACUAAGUGGCGAAUGGGUGAGUAACACGUAGGUGACCUGCCCUGAAGUGCGGAAUAACAGUCCGAAAGGAUUGCUAAUACCGCACGUGGUCCCGGGCGUUAGAGAACCGGGUCGUAAAGACAGUAAUGCGCUUCAGGAGGGGCCGUGCGGUCCAUCAGCUAGUUGGUAGGGUAAG
This 234-nucleotide ribosomal RNA is filed under the name uncultured bacterium. RNAcentral describes it as "partial 16S ribosomal RNA". It matches the Rfam family "Bacterial small subunit ribosomal RNA", at positions 30 to 261 of the family's 1533-position model. The record is from RNAcentral.